Molecule: transfer RNA, 60 nt
Filed under: Stegodyphus mimosarum
Lineage: Eukaryota; Metazoa; Arthropoda; Arachnida; Araneae; Eresidae
Rfam family: tRNA
About the family: Transfer RNA (tRNA) molecules are approximately 80 nucleotides in length. Their secondary structure includes four short double-helical elements and three loops (D, anti-codon, and T loops).
Source: Rfam by way of RNAcentral
GCCUUCGUGGUGUAGUGGUCAGCACGCUCGAGGUCCGUGGUUCGAAUCCCGGUGAUGGCG